AUUGAACGCUGGCGGCAUGCUUUACACAUGCAAGUCGAACGGUAACAGGGAGCUUGCUCCGCUGACGAGUGGCGAACGGGUGAGUAAUGCAUCGGAACGUACCCAGUCGUGGGGGAUAACGUAGCGAAAGUUACGCUAAUACCGCAUACGUCCUGAGGGAGAAAGCGGGGGACCGUAAGGCCUCGCGCGAUUGGAGCGGCCGAUGUCGGAUUAGCUAGUUGGUAGGGGUAAAGGCCUACCAAGGCGACGAUCCGUAGCGGGUCUGAGAGGAUGAUCCGCCACACUGGGACUGAGACACGGCCCAGACUCCUACGGAGGCAGCAGUGGGGAAUUUUGGACAAUGGGCGCGAAGCCUGAUCCAGCCAUGCCGCGUGCGGGAAGAAGGCCUCGGUUGUAA
RNAcentral lists this ribosomal RNA (397 nucleotides) under uncultured bacterium. RNAcentral describes it as "bacterial SSU rRNA". It matches the Rfam family "Bacterial small subunit ribosomal RNA", at positions 29 to 428 of the family's 1533-position model. The record is from RNAcentral.